UUAAGCGACUAAGCGUACACGGUGGAUGCCUAGGCAGUCAGAGGCGAUGAAGGGCGUGCUAAUCUGCGAAAAGCGUCGGUAAGCUGAUAUGAAGCGUUAUAACCGACGAUACCCGAAUGGGGAAACCCAGUGCAAUACGUUGCACUAUCGUUAGAUGAAUACAUAGUCUAACGAGGCGAACCGGGGGAACUGAAACAUCUAAGUACCCCGAGGAAAAGAAAUCAACCGAGAUUCCCCCAGUAGCGGCGAGCGAACGGGGAGGAGCCCAGAGUCUGAAUCAGUUUGUGUGUUAGUGGAAGCGUCUGGAAAGUCGCACGGUACAGGGUGAUAGUCCCGUACACCAAAAUGCACAGGCUGUGAACUCGAUGAGUAGGGCGGGACACGUGACAUCCUGUCUGAAUAUGGGGGACCAUCCUCCAAGGCUAAAUACUCCUGACUGACCGAUAGUGAACCAGUACCGUGAGGGAAAGGCGAAAAGAACCCCGGCGAGGGGAGUGAAAUAGAACCUGAAACCGUGUACGUACAAGCAGUGGGAGCACCUUCGUGGUGUGACUGCGUACCUUUUGUAUAAUGGGUCAGCGACUUAUAUUUUGUAGCAAGGUUAACCGAAUAGGGGAGCCGUAGGGAAACCGAGUCUUAACUGGGCGUCUAGUUGCAAGGUAUAGACCCGAAACCCGGUGAUCUAGCCAUGGGCAGGUUGAAGGUUGGGUAACACUAACUGGAGGACCGAACCGACUAAUGUUGAAAAAUUAGCGGAUGACUUGUGGCUGGGGGUGAAAGGCCAAUCAAACCGGGAGAUAGCUGGUUCUCCCCGAAAGCUAUUUAGGUAGCGCCUCGUGAACUCAUCUUCGGGGGUAGAGCACUGUUUCGGCUAGGGGGCCAUCCCGGCUUACCAAACCGAUGCAAACUCCGAAUACCGAAGAAUGUUAUCACGGGAGACACACGGCGGGUGCUAACGUCCGUCGUGAAGAGGGAAACAACCCAGACCGCCAGCUAAGGUCCCAAAGUCAUGGUUAAGUGGGAAACGAUGUGGGAAGGCACAGACAGCCAGGAUGUUGGCUUAGAAGCAGCCAUCAUUUAAAGAAGCGUAAUAGCUCACUGGUCGAGUCGGCCUGCGCGGAAGAUGUAACGGGGCUAAACCAUGCACCGAAGCUGCGGCAGCGACACUUAGGUGUUGUUGGGUAGGGGAGCGUUCUGUAAGCCGUUGAAGGUGACCUGUGAGGGUUGCUGGAGGUAUCAGAAGUGCGAAUGCUGACAUAAGUAACGAUAAUGCGGGUGAAAAACCCGCACGCCGGAAGACCAAGGGUUCCUGUCCAACGUUAAUCGGGGCAGGGUGAGUCGACCCCUAAGGCGAGGCUGAAAAGCGUAGUCGAUGGGAAACAGGUUAAUAUUCCUGUACUUGGUGUUACUGCGAAGGGGGGACGGAGAAGGCUAGGCUGGCCGGGCGACGGUUGUCCCGGUUUAAGCGUGUAGGGGGAGUGACCAGGUAAAUCCGGUUGCUUAUCAACCCUGAGGCGUGAUGACGAUGCACCACGGUGCAGAAGCAGUUGAUGCCAUGCUUCCAGGAAAAGCCUCUAAGCAUCAGGUAACAUUAAAUCGUACCCCAAACCGACACAGGUGGUCAGGUAGAGAAUACUCAGGCGCUUGAGAGAACUCGGGUGAAGGAACUAGGCAAAAUGGUGCCGUAACUUCGGGAGAAGGCACGCUGGCGUUAGGUGAAAGGACUAGCUCCUGGAGCUGAAGCCAGUCGCAGAUACCAGCUGGCUGCAACUGUUUAAUAAAAACACAGCACUGUGCAAACACGAAAGUGGACGUAUACAGUGUGACGCCUGCCCGGUGCUGGAAGGUUAAUUGAUGGGGUCAGCCGCAAGGCGAAGCUCUUGAUCGAAGCCCCAGUAAACGGCGGCCGUAACUAUAACGGUCCUAAGGUAGCGAAAUUCCUUGUCGGGUAAGUUCCGACCUGCACGAAUGGCGUAAUGAUGGCCAGGCUGUCUCCACCCGAGACUCAGUGAAAUUGAACUCGCUGUGAAGAUGCAGUGUACCCGCGGCAAGACGGAAAGACCCCGUGAACCUUUACUAUAGCUUGACACUGAACAUUGAGCCUUGAUGUGUAGGAUAGGUGGGAGGCCUUGAAGUGUGGACGCCAGUCUGCAUGGAGCCAACCUUGAAAUACCACCCUUUAAUGUUUGAUGUUCUAACUCGGCCCCAUGAUCUGGGGUGAGGACAGUGUCUGGUGGGUAGUUUGACUGGGGCGGUCUCCUCCCAAAGAGUAACGGAGGAGCACGAAGGUUAGCUAAUCACGGUCGGACAUCGUGAGGUUAGUGCAAAGGCAUAAGCUAGCUUGACUGCGAGAGUGACGGCUCGAGCAGGUACGAAAGUAGGUCUUAGUGAUCCGGUGGUUCUGAAUGGAAGGGCCAUCGCUCAACGGAUAAAAGGUACUCCGGGGAUAACAGGCUGAUACCGCCCAAGAGUUCAUAUCGACGGCGGUGUUUGGCACCUCGAUGUCGGCUCAUCACAUCCUGGGGCUGAAGUAGGUCCCAAGGGUAUGGCUGUUCGCCAUUUAAAGUGGUACGCGAGCUGGGUUUAGAACGUCGUGAGACAGUUCGGUCCCUAUCUGCCGUGGGCGUUGGAAGAUUGAGAGGGGCUGCUCCUAGUACGAGAGGACCGGAGUGGACGAAUCACUGGUGUUCGGGUUGUCAUGCCAAUGGCAUUGCCCGGUAGCUAAAUUCGGAAGAGAUAACCGCUGAAAGCAUCUAAGCGGGAAACUUGCCUCGAGAUGAGUCUUCCCUGGGGCUUAAAGCCCCCUGAAGGAACGUUAAAGACUAUGACGUUGAUAGGCUGGGUGUGUAAGUGCAGCGAUGUAUUGAGCUAACCAGUACUAAUGAUCCGUGAGGCUUAACCUU
This 2903-nucleotide ribosomal RNA is filed under the name Yersinia pestis. Its description in RNAcentral is "bacterial LSU rRNA". It matches the Rfam family "Bacterial large subunit ribosomal RNA". The record is from RNAcentral. Lineage: Bacteria; Pseudomonadati; Pseudomonadota; Gammaproteobacteria; Enterobacterales; Yersiniaceae.